CAGCCGCCGCGGUAACACGAAGGGUGCAAGCGUUAAUCGGAAUUACUGGGCGUAAAGCGUGCGUAGGCGGUUUGUUAAGUCUGUUGUGAAAGCCCUGGGCUCAACCUGGGAAUUGCAGUGGAUACUGGAUCACUAGAGUGUGGUAGAGGAUAGUGGAAUUUCCGGUGUAGCAGUGAAAUGCGUAGAGAUCGGAAGGAACAUCCGUGGCGAAGGCGACUAUCUGGGCCAACACUGACACUGAGGCACGAAAGCGUGGGGAGCAAACAGGAUUAGAUACCCCAGUAGUCCCUGUCUCUUAUAU
RNAcentral lists this ribosomal RNA (301 nucleotides) under uncultured bacterium. RNAcentral describes it as "partial 16S ribosomal RNA". It matches the Rfam family "Bacterial small subunit ribosomal RNA", at positions 509 to 809 of the family's 1533-position model. The record is from RNAcentral.